AUGGGCCAUAAGCACGCAAACAAUGACCAAAAAUUACCUGAGCAGGGAAUUUCCCAUAAUAUCUUCAGGACAGGUUGUAUAAUAAUACUAGUUAAUAGUAAACAGGAUACUUCUACUAACAUAAUAAUGGGCCAUAAGCACGCAAACAAUGACCAAAAAUUACCUGAGCAGGGAAUUUCCCAUAAUAUCUUCAGGACAGGUUGUAUAAUAAUACUAGUUAAUAGUAAACGGGAUACUUCUACUACCAUAACAAUGGGCCAUAAGCACGCAAACAAUGACCAAGAAUUACCUGAGCAGGGAAUUUCCCGUUGA
This 312-nucleotide ribosomal RNA is filed under the name Triticum aestivum (bread wheat). RNAcentral describes it as "partial small subunit ribosomal RNA". The record is from RNAcentral. Lineage: Eukaryota; Viridiplantae; Streptophyta; Magnoliopsida; Poales; Poaceae.